CAAAUUUGUAUCCAAACUUGCCAACAUGGAUCAAAAGGCAAAAACAAGAGAAAAUCAUAUAUCAUUACACAAAUUUCUGUUACAUUUUGGAAUUUCCAAUUACAAAACCCUGAGCCCCAAACCUAAUCGAAAACUUCCUAAUCAUAAUCAUCAACUUAAUUCCUAGACCUAAUUUCCCACCUAUUUAAAUCCUAAAAUUCUACAAGAAAAGGACAAGGAAAAGAUUACCACAAAAGCCACACCAUUUCUUCCCCUUACGUGAGUUCUACCAAGCAAAUUCACAAUCGAUCUUUUGUAGGUACCUGCGUUGUGGAUCUCUCUACGAUUGAGGUUGAAUUUUAUUUCUCUUUUUUUCUUCUCUCUCAUGUUAAUUUUCUUUUUCUUUCUGUGUAUAUAUUAUGUUCUGUUCUUAUUCUUUUUUCUACUGCUAAAUGCAAGAGGUGGUUUUUGUCUCUGUGUUAUUGUAUUAUUUUUAGUAUUAUGAUCAUUAUUCCCUUUUUUAGAUGCUC
This 509-nucleotide long non-coding RNA is filed under the name Lathyrus oleraceus (garden pea). Its description in RNAcentral is "Pisum sativum (pea) long non-coding RNA (PSAT_LNC037790)". Lineage: Eukaryota; Viridiplantae; Streptophyta; Magnoliopsida; Fabales; Fabaceae. The record is from RNAcentral.